This 939-nucleotide ribosomal RNA is filed under the name Triticum aestivum (bread wheat). RNAcentral's name for it is "partial small subunit ribosomal RNA". The record is from RNAcentral. Lineage: Eukaryota; Viridiplantae; Streptophyta; Magnoliopsida; Poales; Poaceae.
AUGGUGCAGAAGUAUGACAUUGGUGAUGUUAACUAUUUUAAGAUUAUGUGGAAACAGAGGAGAAGGUGGGCACCUGUCUACUUCAAGACAUAUUUCCUCCCACUCUUACAUUCAACAUCAAGGAGCGAAGGCAUGAAUGCCAUAUUCAAGGACAAUGUAGCGUCGACCGACAAUGUGAUUAGUUUCAUGACAGAAUAUGAGAAGAUAUCUGAACGCAUACAAGACAUGGAGAGGGAGCAAGACUCGUUGACAAGGACAACAAAACCAACAUUCUGGGUGCACAAUGAACUUGAGAUUCAGGCAUCGCGAAUGUACAACCGGCAGAUUUUUUACCGGUUUCAGAAACAAAUGAAGUUUGCUGCCCAACUACACGUGGAUGUUGUUGAGAAUGGAUCAAGGUUUGAGGUUUACAAGUCGAGCAUGCUUGCGGAAAAAGAAUUCAGGACACAACGUUACCUUGUACUAGCAAACCUGAAGCAAGAAGAAUUUUCUUGCAUCUGUGGGAAGUUUCAAAAGGAUGGCAUUGUGUGUGCACACAUACUGCAAGUGCUUGUCAAUCUGAACAUGCCUGUCCUACCAGACAAGUAUUAUAUUCAGAGAUGGAAACCAAAAGACAAAAAAUAUGUAAGAGACAAGCAGUUCAACAUUCCCAUGGAACUGACUGAGGCGAGCAGACAUUUGAUGUAUUCACAUCUAUCAACAAUGCUCAGUGAGAUGGCUUCCGAUGGGGUAAGAACGAAUCAAAAGUACUUGUAUGUUGUGAACGAAAGUGAGAGAAUAUUUGCUGGGCUUGAUGAGAUAACCAAGGCAGAUGAGUUGAGGGAGCUUCAAGCAAGAGGAGUCGCUGUGGAAAAUGAACCUCCAAUACAAAUGCAAGAACCCCACCCUGAUGACUAUGACAACCUACAAGACCCAGAUGUUGUUGUAUCUAAAGUUUGA